CCUACGGGGGGCAGCAGUGGGGAAUAUUGCACAAUGGGCGCUAGCCUGAUGCAGCCAUGCCGCGUGUGUGAAGAAGGCCUUCGGGUUGUAAAGCACUUUCAGCGGGGAGGUAGGCGCUAAGGUUAAUAACCUUAGCGAUUGACGUUACCCGCAGAAGACGCACCGGCUAACUCCGUGCCAGCAGCUGCGGUAAUACGGAGGGUGCAAGCGUUAAUCGGAAUUACUGGGCGUAAAGCGCACGCAGGCGGUCUGUCAAGUCGGAUGUGAAAUCCCCGGGCUCAACCUGGGAACUGCAUUCGAAACUGGCAGGCUAGAGUAUUGUAGAGGGAGGUAGAAUUCCAGGUGUAGCGGUGAAAUGCGUAGAGAUCUGGAGGAAUACCGAUGGCGAAGGCGGCCCCCUGGACAAAGACUGACGCUGAGGUGCGAAAGCGUGGGGAGCAAACAGGAUUAGAUACCCUAGUAGUC
This 465-nucleotide ribosomal RNA is filed under the name uncultured bacterium. RNAcentral describes it as "partial 16S ribosomal RNA". It matches the Rfam family "Bacterial small subunit ribosomal RNA", at positions 338 to 795 of the family's 1533-position model. The record is from RNAcentral.